This 77-nucleotide transfer RNA is filed under the name Nitrososphaerota archaeon. RNAcentral's name for it is "Thaumarchaeota archaeon tRNA-Asp". The stretch from base 12 to 69 matches the Rfam family "tRNA", at positions 10 to 63 of the family's 71-position model. Rfam says of the family: Transfer RNA (tRNA) molecules are approximately 80 nucleotides in length. Lineage: Archaea; Thermoproteati; Nitrososphaerota. The record is from RNAcentral.
ACCCUUGAAACAUAAAGUCCGGUCUAGUAUGGGGGACUGUCACUCCUUCGACCCGGGUUCGAAUCCCGGCCCGGGCG